This is a long non-coding RNA of Vulpes vulpes (red fox), 1584 nucleotides long. The record is from Ensembl. Lineage: Eukaryota; Metazoa; Chordata; Mammalia; Carnivora; Canidae.
UGGAAACGAUUUUAUAGUCAUGAACUAAAUGCGAGGAGCACUUAAAGUGUCGAACUGCAUUGUAUAUUUUAUGUAAAUUAAGAAUAUUGAACAAAUUCCCCAUUUGGUACAAAAGAGAGAAAGAAAAUAGACCUCUCCUGAUGAUCAAUGCCUCUGAGGAAAUGAAUUAUCUUUAUUUUCUCCAUUAUCUUUUAUUGUCAUUUUAUAUACUCUAUAAAAUAUCGACCUGCAAGGUAUUCAAAUGAAAUGUGAUGUAAUUUUUCUGAUUCACGAGCCUUUUUUAUAUCCUUCAGGCAAGACUGCGACCUUCUCUACAUCCCUGAGUACACCUCAUAGGUAGACUCUGCCCUCAUAAUAGAAAGUACUCUAGUAACAGAGUGUGUUAUAUUCAGGCAAAUGUACUCCUUGGAGUCCAAAGGGCUGGGUUCAAAUCCCAAUUUUGCAAUUGAAUGUGCAGUGUUGGAUAUGUUCAUUAUAGUGUGCAAGUCCAAGUACUGCAAAGCUGAAGAGAGACAAUGCACAUCUCGAAGUACAAGUCAUUAAACCUGCCUUUGGAAGCAUGUGAGACUUAGAAUAAAUAACAAGAAAGAAUAUUGAAAAUUGGAUUUCCCAAAGAAUUAAGAUGCUCCCACUGUGGCCAGGCUCGGGCUACCUACCGCAGCCCCCGAGGCGGAGAGGCAGGCAGUCGCCUGCACAAACGCCACUGGAGCCACCUGCAGCACAUCGCUGGCUGUGCCAGGUGAUGCCAUUAACUUCCAGCUCCCUCUUCAUGAGCCUGGAACUGCAUCCUACGACCACUUCUCCUGCACCAGUUGACCCUGUGAGGCAUUCUGCUAGGAGGCCACAGGAGAGAUACUGGAAGACCAGGGCAGGCCCAGAUCUUUGUCCGUGGCUCUGCUGCCCUCUCCUCCAGCAAAGCAGCCAAUGGAUUAUGAAGGAAAAGAUAAACAGCCAUGAUAGAAAGUUUCCCAGCCAGUUGUGAAUACCUCAAAGACGAAAGCAGAUUUCACUCUGAACUUGGAGGCAGACUCACAUUUAUCCUCCCACACCGGGAUCCAAUGUCAGCCAUCCUCAUCCUAUCGCCCACUGUUCUAUGACUUAGAUGCGACGCCAACGGCUCAAAAUAUUUACAGCAUGAUCCUGCUUUAUAAAGACCAUGGCAGUAGCAGCGGUGCUUAUGAAAUGUGUCAUCCACGUCACCACAUUUCCUGACCUCCCUGUGCUUAAUCAGAGACGUGAGACAUCCUUAUGGCUACCUUACCUAUGUCCUUCUGUGGACAAAGGGAUGUGUAUUAUUUUUGGGAUGAAGCACUGAAGAGCAGUGUCUUUUUUACUUCUGUGAGAUCAGGAAUGUAGCUCCAAACAGUGUGUGUGUAUGUGUGUGUGUGUGUGUGUGUGUGUUGGGGGGGGUGGUUCUCAGCUUUAAUACUAUGGACAUUUUGAACCAGGUAAUUGUGAGUGUGGGGGACAGAGGUCUAUCCUGUGCUUUUCAGGAUGUUCAGCAGUAUCCCUGGCCUAUAGUCAUUAGCUGGAGCACCAUUCUCUCCAGUUAUGACAAUAAAAUGUACAGUCUGACACUGUCCA